RNAcentral lists this ribosomal RNA (253 nucleotides) under uncultured bacterium. RNAcentral describes it as "partial 16S ribosomal RNA". It matches the Rfam family "Bacterial small subunit ribosomal RNA", at positions 524 to 776 of the family's 1533-position model. The record is from RNAcentral.
UACAGAGGGUGCAAGCGUUGUUCGGAAUUAUUGGGCGUAAAGGGCGUGUAGGCGGUCUGCUAAGUCAUGUGUGAAAUCCCUCGGCUUAACCGAGGAACGACGCAUGAAACUGGCAAGCUAGAGUACCAAAGAGGGGGGUGGAAUUCCCGGUGUAGCGGUGAAAUGCGUAGAUAUCGGGAGGAACGCCAGUGGUGAAGACGACUACCUGGACCAAUACUGACACUGAGGCGCGAGAGCGUGGGGAGCGAACAGG